RNAcentral lists this ribosomal RNA (478 nucleotides) under uncultured Desulfobacterium sp. RNAcentral's name for it is "bacterial SSU rRNA". It matches the Rfam family "Bacterial small subunit ribosomal RNA", at positions 29 to 480 of the family's 1533-position model. Lineage: Bacteria; Pseudomonadati; Thermodesulfobacteriota; Desulfobacteria; Desulfobacterales; Desulfobacteriaceae. The record is from RNAcentral.
AACGAACGCUGGCGGCGUGCCUAACACAUGCAAGUCGAACGAGAAACUUCCCGCUUGCGGGAGGGAGUAAAGUGGCGCACGGGUGAGUAACGCGUGGGUAACCUGCCCUUGAAUCUGGGAUAACUCUGCGAAAGCGGUGCUAAUACCGGAUAUGGUUUCGAAGACUUCGGUUUUCGGUAUUAAAGGUGACCUCUUCAUGAAAGUUGCCGUUUAAGGAUGGGCCCGCGUACCAUUAGCUUGUUGGUAGGGUAAUGGCCUACCAAGGCUACGAUGGUUAGCUGGUCUGAGAGGAUGAUCAGCCACACUGGAACUGAAACACGGUCCAGACUCCUACGGGAGGCAGCAGUGAGGAGUUUUGCGCAAUGGGGGAAACCCUGACGCAGCAACGCCGCGUGAGCGAAGAAGGCCUUUGGGUCGUAAAGCUCUGUCAAGUGGGAAAAACGUCUACCGGUCAAUAGCCGGCAGAUCUGAUGUACCA